GGAAAGAAAACAUGUUAUGUUCAGUUCCCGCAACGGUUUGAUGGUAUUGAUAACCAUGAUCGAUAUGCUAAUCGCAACAUUGUUUUCUUUGAUAUAAACAUGAAAGGCUUGGAUGGCAUUCAGGGCCCUAUGUAUGUUGGGACAGGAUGCUGUUUCAACAGGCAGGCCUUGUAUGGGUAUGAUCCUGUUUUGACAGAAGCCGACUUGGAACCAAACAUAGUGUUUAGAAGUUGCUGUGGUUCAAGAAAGAAGGGAAAGAGUCGGAGCAAGAGUUAUAUCGAUAAAAAGCGGGCUGUCAAGAGAACUGAAUCCUCCAUUCCAAUCUUCAACAUGGAAGACAUUGAUGAGGGAAUAGAAGGUUAUGAGGACGAGCGAUCACUCCUAAUGUCUCAAAAGAGCCUGGAAAAACGAUUUGGUCAGUCACCAAUUUUCAUCGCAUCCACCUUCCAGGAACAAGGUGGCAUUCCAC
This 469-nucleotide unclassified non-coding RNA is filed under the name Hevea brasiliensis (rubber tree). Lineage: Eukaryota; Viridiplantae; Streptophyta; Magnoliopsida; Malpighiales; Euphorbiaceae. The record is from RNAcentral.